GAACCAGAACCUAGAUGCACAAAACCUUGCCACACACUUUGUCAGGAUAGGAUUAAAAUAAGAUAAAAUUUGUUAAGGGUUGUUAUUUUUGUCAUUUUAUGGAGGGAUAAUUACAUGGUUGAGGGUACAUAAUAGGAUAAGGUAAAAUUGUGAAAAUUAAUCUUUUGGAGGGACAAAAUUACGUGUCUACAUCCUGCCCCCUUUGAAUGUAAACACAGAGUGUUUUCUUACAAAGAAAUAAACAACGAGAUAGAAUUUUAUCCCGAUCAUUAUUCAAAGGAAGAAAUAGAAGAAAGAAGGACAACCAAAUCUUGACUUAGGACAACCUACCUACCCAAGUUAUCGGGGAAUCAAUUGACAGGUAUCCCAAAAGAUUGGAAGGAAAUGGACUAUACCGAGUUGGAGAGUCGAGUGAGGUUCCAUCGAGGUUCCAAUCUGCAGCUCUGUUAUUACAUCAAAAAUGAAAAUUACAAGUUAAAAAAUAAAUGAAACUACAAAACUUCUAUCUAUGCAGCUUCUUUUGGACUCUUGAUUUGAGUUUCAUCACCCUAUUAUUCAGGCGGGCUCCUGACUUGGAAUUUCUUCAACUUGUUGCAUGGCUUUAAAUUUCUUCACCCUAUUCUCCAGCUGGGCUCCUGACUUGCUAUUUUUCAAUUUGUUAACUUUCAAUUUCUUCACCUUGUUGCUUGGUUUUCAACUUCUUCACCUUAUUGUUUGACAUUCAAUCUCUUAACCUUGUUACUUGACUUUCAUUUUAUUUGCCAUGUUCUUCAGGCGGGCUCCUGAAAUCACAUCAAAACUAAAAGAAAAUUAUUCCAGACCAAUAUUAUUAUAAAGAGAAUUCAUAUGCCAGGAAAGUGAAGUUCUAAACACAAGAAUUAAAUUUUUCCUCAAUUUAUCAUCAAAGGACUUUUUUGAAAGUCACAUCAUUAUAAGAAUCAAAGAGAAUGACUCGACUAAAAGGUAUGUCUUAUAGGAAUCAAGGGAAUGACUCGACUAAAAGGUACGUCUUCUAGGGGUCAAGGGGAAUGACUAGACUAAAAGGUACGUCUUAUAAGAAUCCAAGGGAUGACUCGACUAAAAGGUACAUCUUAUAGGAAUCAAAGGGAAUGACUCCACUAAAAGGAACGUCUUAUAGGAAUCAAAGGGGAUGACUCGACUAAAACGUACGUCUAAUAGGAAUCAAAGGAAAUGACUCGACUAAAAGGUACAUCUUAUAAGAGUCAAGGGGAAUGACUCGACUAAAAGGUAUGUCUUCUAGGAAUAAAAGGGAAUGACUCGACUCAAAGGUACGUCUUAUAGGAAUCAAAGAAAAUGACUCAACUAAAAGGUACGUCUUAUAGGAAUCAACGAAAAUGACUCGACUAAAAGGUACGUCUUCUAAGAGUCAAGGGAAUGACUCGACUAAAAGGUACAUCUUAUAGGAAUCAAAGGGGAUGACUCGACUAAAAGCUACGUCUAAUAGGAAUCAAAGGAAAUGACUCGACUAAAAGGUACGUCUUCUAGGGGUCAAGGGGAAUGAUUCGACUAAAAGGUACAUCUUAUAGGAAUCAAAGGGAAUGAAUCGACUAAAAGGUAUGUCUUAUAGAAAUCAAAGGGGAUGCCUCGACUAAAAGGUACGUCUAAUAGGAAUCAAAGGGAAUGACUCAACUAAAAGGUACGUCUUCUAAGGGUCAAGGGGAAUGACUCGACUAAAAGGUACGUCUUAUAGGAAUCAAAGGGAAUGACUCGACUAAAAUGUACGUCUCUAAGGAAUCAAGGGAAAUGACUCGACUUAAAGGUACGUCUUCUAGGAGUCAAAUGGAAUGACUCAACUAGAAGGUACGCCUUCUAGGAGUGAAGGUUCAAUUUAAUAAGUGUAUCACCCAACAAAUGAAAACUAAAAUCCCUGGACAGGAAAGUGUGUCUCCGAGGGAUAUAGGAUGAUGAAUUUUUAUCAUGAUUUGAUUAUCAAACCUGUGCAACAACAUUGCUUCCUGCAUUUGUAAAAGUGAGGCAUUGCGGCCCUUGAUGUUUAUUCUCUAAAGUCCCUUCUUUGAAGGUAAUUUGUUUCCUGUUUCAUCAAAGAAAACUUAUGAGUUUAAAACAUGGUGGCUGGUUUGUAGCUUUAGCUUUCUCGGCGAUCGCUCUUGCCCUCUUCAUAUUUAACUUUGCUUCCAAUCAUUAGCAUAUGUCAUUGACUUGCUGAAUCAUUGACCCGAACUCAGAUUAUUAAGAUUGACUGAAACAAACACAGUAUCUCUGUUUUUCCCUACUUCUCAGAUAGACCCUUUGAACCUUGGUAUUUCCAUGAGUUUCCCGACUUGUCUGUUGACAAAACUUUCUGCAUGCCCUUUUUUUUCGUCUUACAAUCAUGUCUCUUUCAUGUGCUAGCUUUUAUCUUGCUUUGUGCAAUUAAAGAAGCUGGUAGCCAGUUUUGAAAUCUUUUCUCACUUGUUUGACACGAAUUUGACUCAAAGAUAAGAAAGAAAAAAAAAGUGAUAAUUUUUUUUAUUUGGAUAACUGACUUAAGAAAGAUAAAACAAAAAUAAAAAGAAGAAAGAAAAGACAAUGAAUGUCCCCAUUUGAAACAAAGAAAUGAAAAAUUCAUCUAAAAAUGACAGUCAACUCUAAUGAUUAUGCCAUGUAUUUUGGAUUAAGCAUAUUGAUCUUUUCAUCCAAACCUUCUACCAAUUGUUGUUGAGUUAAUGGCUUUGAAACUGAGUUACUUCCUUAGGCCAAAUUCAUUCGGAAACCUCAUUCGACUAGUGGCGCCUUGAAGGGUUUUCGCCAACAAACCUGUUUCUUUCUCUCAGCUCACCAUAAUCUUAUGGUGUCCGUGAGGGUUUUCACCAAUAAGACUCUCUCAUUUUUAUUUUUCUCAACUUACCAUCACCUUACGGUCCUCGUGAGAGUUUUCAUCAAUAAGACUCUCUCAUUUUUAUUUCUCUCUUAAUUCCUUAUGCUGAGGAAGACAAGUAGUUCCCAAAUGCAUCAUCAUAUCCCUUGCAUGCUUAGCCUUAACAUCCUCAAAGAUUGAUCUGAAGGUCUUUCUUUGGUUGUAACUUGGCUUUUGGAUAGGGUUAAAAAGAAAGGAUGGCAUAAGGCUCAAUCGAUACUUGAAGUGGGGUGGGACUUACAACUUUUGAAAUCGACUCAAACAAUGAGGAUUAACUCAUGCCCCAGUUUCUUUUGACUGGGUGACUCUAAAUUGUUUAUAUGGUUGGACCAAGCCCGAAGCAGAGCAACCUACAUAUCUCACCCCCGAGAGGAGAGAAUCAGGUCAUGCGUAGUUCUGGCAGCUCGUUCUUUUGCUUGAUUCUAAUUUUCUUUUCUUUUCUUUUCUUUUAUUGACUCUCUUUUUGGGAUUUUUCUGACUUUAUUUUGCUUGACACUCUUUUUUUCUUUUUGGACACAUUUUUCUCUUCUUCUUUUUUGAAAUUUUCUGACUCUAUUCUUUUACUCGCAAUUUUUCUUUUGAGCUUUGCUGACUCUAUCUUGAUUCCAAAAGAGAUGUAAGAAAGAAAAUAAAACUAAGGCUCAAAUGGGGUAAACAAAGGAUGACACAAUGUUUGAAUAACAGAAUGAAAUGUCUUUGUCAUAUCAAUCAUUGAAGAUGCUAGUACAUAGCAUGUAAUGUGAAAGUACAUGAUCAAUAUCACUUAUGACAUGUUUUACAACGCUAACUUUCCCUGAGCAUGUGUGUCACCUCUUCUUCUACACUUGUCGAACAUACAACUCCACCUUUGUUGUACAUCUCUCACAUUGAAUGACUUAUGCUUUCGUGGAGUUGAUUUUUGUUCUGUUCCUCGGUAUCACACAUCUGCUAUUUGACCUAAUUGAGCUAUGUUUCUUAAUUGAUGACCAAGUUAUUCUUAUGCUUCUCAAAAUAAUUUCCUUGAUUUUCAAAGAAAGCUUCAGCUCAUCACUAAAUGUCUCAACACUCUACCUAUUCCUCAGAUGUUUUUUCUAACUUUAGGCCUCUGAUUCAAAGUUCUUGCUUAAAACAGGACUUUAAGAUCUGGCUGAAAUUCCGCAGGCAUAUCAUAUCACUAGAGCCAACAUAAAAUGUACUAUGUACAGGAAACAAACAAACAAACAACACAUAUUUAAAACACAAAGGAAAAAAGGGACAUUCUCUUUAGUUGAAACAAAGGAGAAAAGGGUUUGAACAUAAACGACCAAGGGACAAAACAAGAUAGAUCCCGAACUACAACCCUGAAGUAAUUCAAAAAAUAAAAAAUAAAUCAAAACAAACUACCAGAUCUCGUCUUAGUAGGGAGAUGGGUGACUUCUCAAUUGCUCAGCCUGGCAACUUAGCCACUGAUUUGCAUAUCAUCAUGACUAGAGCUUUCCUUACUAUCAAUGUUCUGUACCAUAAUUGAUCUAUCUUGAAUCAUCUUUUUAAUUUCUCCUUUCAAAGUCCGACAAUCUUCAAAACUGUGACCCUGAACAUCAAAAUGAUAUGCACAUCGUACACUAGGUCAAAACUUCUUUAAUGGGGGUCAGGAGUAUACCCAAGGAGAGGAGUGAUCAUACCCCGUUGUACCAAUUUUUGAAAUAAGCUGGCAUACGACUCUCCAAUUGGUGUGAAGCUAUCACUCAAUUUUCGCCUCAUUUAAUUGUUUGGAUUGGAUCCAAAAUUGGCCCUAGAAAGGCUUUCAUAGAUUUGUGGAGUCGGAGGGUAACUCUGAGGAGUUGGUGCACGCCAUUGUGAGUAAGAAGGGAGUUGAACAUAUGGUUGUGCGUAGUAUACUAGAUAUGAAGGUGGGGAAAUAUAGUAUAAUGAAUUUUGGGAGGGAUUAUAGAAAGCUUGGGUAUGAACUUGGGCCUGAGAUUGACGGCAACGACGACGUCGUCUUCUUGGAUGUGCCCGUUCUCCAACUACAAUAGUAACUAUAUCUUAAUCAUUCUUCUUCCCUCCAGUUUCCUUUAAUUGAUUGUAAUAUUGUUCUAAAUGUUUCACGGAUUCGUCCUAUCCAUCUUGCUCCUUAAAUUUUGAUAUCUCGAAUAUUGGAGAAAGGUUAGCACUUGAAGGCAUACCCCAGUCUUUGAAUGCAACAUUUUCUUUAUUCGCAUGUCCUAGAGAAUUUUUCAUAGCAUUUUCUGCACUCUUUAUUUUUCCAACCAUUUUCUUCGACUCUUCUGGCACAUUGGACUUCUUGUUAAGAAAUUUUGGUGGUCUAUUUAACUUAAAAACAGGCUCAGGAGUAUAACAAUGAUCACCAAAAGUUUUGAAUAUAGGUUCACUAGCAGCAUGGGGACGUACAAUUAUUGGGCGAGCCAGUGUGGAAGUCCCAGUAGAGGAUUGAGCAACAAGAUCAUAGACGACAUGUGGUGUUGUGAAUGUAGCAAGCUUAUGUUGAGGAGCUAGAGAAAAGGUGGUAGAAGUAUUGAGAUGCUUUUGGCUUGGAAUAAAUUCUAAGUCAUGAUGCAGUGCAUCAACAACAGUAGAAAACUGACUUUGAGAUUUUGGUGGAAAACUCGAGGUAUUUAUAGGAUCAAUAAAGGAAAGUGGAGGAGGAGGCAACCCACUGGCCCAAGCUCAAUGAAUUUCUAUCAUUUGUUGCCUUAGCCUCCUAAUUUCUUGCUUCAAACUCUCAUUUUCCUGAUUCUUUGUUUGAUCCAUGAUGUCACUCUUUAUAAUUUUGUUGGAUACAACUAACCCUUUGGAUUUGGUGUGAUGUGAAAGACUAGCCAAAAUGUCAAAAACCAACCACCUUAAACUGACUCAAUAAAAAAAAACAAAUGUGUUAGAGUUCAACACUUUUUCAAAACCUCUUUUUCCUUCUGAUCACCGAACCCAAGAAGGGCGCCUACGUAUCUCACUCCCGAGAGAGGAGAAUCAGGUGAGCAUAGUUCAUGAAGUCUUGCCAAAAUAUCCAAUUAAACUCUUUUUUUUUCUUUUUCUUAAAACUUUACGAAGAAAUGAAAAUAACAAAUUGUCAAAAGAAUUGACGAAAAUCUUUUUGCAUUUUUCAUGUUAAACAUCCCUAUACAAAGUGAAACCUAUGAUUACUAAAGAAAAUCCCUAGAUGUACUGAUUUAUCUGGCAGUUCACUAUGCGUCGAAUGAUUCUUUGCUAUUUCUUUUGGGGUUUUCAAUUUGAAUUUCCUACGAAAAUGAAACUUGAACCUAUUAAAGAAAAAUCUUUUUGUAGUUUUCUUUUAAAACAUGUAUACGACACCUACUCUAAAUGAAGAGUGAAGAAAAUCUUUUUGGAUUUUUCAAAUAAGAUCCCCGAACCAAAAUAGGCUGCCUAUGUAUCUCACUCUCGAGAGAGGAGAAUCAGGGGUGCGGAGUUUGUCCAGAUUGGACAAUUAAGGAUUAAAGAAUAAACUCAACCCUGACUUAAGAGACAGAACAACAACAAUAAAAACUUUUUUUGGGGGGGAUUUUUAAUUUGACACUCCACAUAAGACUGACACCAAUAACUAUGAAUGAAAAAUCUUUUGGUAUCUUCAUUAUAUGAAAUGUACAGAACUUCCACCAUCUUUUUUUAAUUUUUCUUUUAUGAAAACUCCUAUGAAUGAAAAAUCUUUUUUUUGAAAUUUGCGAAUUAUGAAUGAUUACUAAAGAAACAAAAGAAAAAUCUUUUCAAUAUUUUUUUGUAUUUUGCGAAGAUGGUGCAAAUGGUGAAAAAAAAACUUUUUGAAUUUUUAGAUUGUGAAAAGACAAAAACCAUAAAGAACUCUAAAAACUACUAAAUUCUUUUUAUUUUUUUCGACUCACUUUCCUUUUUUUUUUCAAUUUUUCAUUGCCUACACACUUUACUUCCAACACAUACUUUCUCCGAAUCAGUCCGUCAAAUGACCACGUUACCCUCAAAGAUGCAACAUUUAGCACAUAAGGAUGCUGUAGAGGUGAGUCUCUUACAAAGGACCAAAUGGGCCUCGGUAGGUCUCAAUAUGAUGCACAUAAGUAUGACCUAAAGGUUGAUCAACGCUGGAGUUCACUAACAAGAUUGUUCGGGGGAGCAAAUGGUCGAUAGUGGCUGUUUUGGCUGUCCACCUACUCCAUACCAGCCGAUGGCUCCCCCUCCUAAAAUAAGGGUGACUUAACUAUAGAUCGUGUACACAGCGUGUACUAUAGAACUUGUUGCAGAAAGAAUUAACUCGGAUUAUGCACAUGAUCCUAGUUAUAAAGCGGUAACAGAUAAGAUAAAAAUUAUAAAUAAAGAGCACAUAGGCACUCAACAAUGAUAAAAUAAACAACAAACGAUAACACAAACAAUGUUUACACACCCAUAAUGUCAAACUAAGCCGAUACAACUCCAAAAAAAUAAGCUCGAAUUCUGAAAAGGUUCCCCAGCAGAGUCGCCAUAGCUGUCACACCCCUUUUUUUCACUCCCAAAAAAUAAUUGAAUUUUAAGGUUUGAAAGGAUUUUUAUUAUUAAAGUGACAAAAGGUUGAAAAUUUUCUUGGAAAAAAGGAUUAUAUACAUUUUUUAUUCAGAGUCGACACUUGACAUAAAUCGGGUGUGCCAAGUCACCUUUGGAAAUCCUUUUUUAAAACAGUUUUGACUCUAAAACUGAUCCGCGAACAGAGAUUUUGGUUAAGGAAUUCUAUUGAUCGAAGGGAAGGUGUUAGACACCCCUCGAUCCCAUGGUUCGACCACGGUCUCUUGGUGGAGUGUAACGGCUAAUUUGACAUCACAAAUGUAUAAACCACACAAAAACACAUAAAAUAAUCAACCACAAACAAAACAAAUCCAAAAUAUAGUGUCUAGUCCAAUUAUACAGUCCAGAAUAAAAAGGUACUGACAAGUAAACCUACACUAAUCCUAAACUACUCUUCAAUGAUUUACCCGAUGCCUCGGGCCUUGAUCGCGAGCCUCCUUUGCGUACAUGAUACUUCGGGGCAUUCCCCGAUAAAUAAGUAUAGUGUGGCCUCGGGGCAUUCCCCGAUGAAUGAAUACAUUUGAUGAAAUAUAAUAAAAAUGGAGAAAUCGUACAACACAGACAUUCACACAUUCAAUUAUAUAGAAUCCUAUGAGUUGCCUACCCCGAGCCUACCGUUUGCCUACCCAGCUCGACCUAUCAUGACAUUAUCAUAUUCAAUGACAUCAAUGAAUCAAAAGUAAAUUAACGCUUGCUUUUAUCGAUUUUUCAAUUUCCGACCCCCAAAUUCACUCGAGUUGGAUAUUAUGUCAUCAAACAAUCCAUAAUCAUGGAAAUCCAACAAUAAAUCAAAACCAACAAUCAUUCACACCAUCAAAACACACCAAAAUCAAAUUAUAUGAUAAAAUUAAGAGAUGAUGAGAUAGAAUUGGACCUCAAUAGAAGUUUAACCACAAAAUUUCUUCAGCAAUUUCUAAUAAUACUUAGAAAAAGAGCAGCGAUUGGAAUCUCAAAUCGACCUCAGCCAACAAAAACCCAACUCGGUAUUGAAACUGCCAACCGCACAAAUUUAAAACCAGUACCAAUAGACUCAGAACUUUGAAUCACGAAUUUCAAACUUAAACUCCAUUUUACCCAUACCCGAGGAUUGUUCCGAUGGCUUUCGCCGCCUGAAUGGUACCAACAGUGAUGGGGUGAUCGGGUUUUAUGAUUUUGAUGGAGGUGGAGCUGAUAUUCAUAUCGCCGGAGUCCCAGUGAGCUCCAACAGUGACAGACAGACAGAGUAUGAUUCAUAUCUCAGGCAAAACAGUGGUUCCCGGUGAGAUUUCACCGGAACCAAUACCCCCACCGUCGUUUCUCUAUUCUCUCUCACUUACACUCAGAUUUUUCUUAUUUUCCUCCCAAAUUUAUCACACCCUCUCUCUUUUAGCUGCUCUCUCCCAUCUCUCUCACUCCCUCGAUCCUCCACUGUGUGUGUGCCUAUCGUGUGUAUGCUGUGUGCAUUUUAUUCUCUGGUGAGGUGUGAUGGUGAGUGAUCUUAUGAGUGUCAUGGGAUCUGAUGGAGAGUAUUUUUUAUGAAGAAGAAAGUGAAUUUUUUGAAAGUGAAAAUUGAAAAAUAGAGUCUCCCUGGUUGUGCAUAUGUAUGGAGAAGAAGGGUGAAUGGAAUUCUUGUUUUGUUGUGGGGCCCGUGAGUGUAUGUGAGGUCUCCUUUUUGAAUGUAGUGUGUUGUAUAUAUUUGUUUUCAAUGUGUAAGAAUGGAAGUUGGCCAAUAUUCCCUGUGGGCCCCUGUGUGUCUAUGAAUGCCCAAAUCCAAAAAUAGAAAAAUCCUCCCUGCGUAUUGAUGAGAAUGUGUGUAUUUGUGUGGGACACGCGAGUGGGGUGAGGGUUAAGGGUAGGUGUCCUAAUUUAAUUGAAGAGGUUGUCAAGAUAUGAUUAAAAUAAGAUAAAAUUUAUUAAGGGUUAUUAUUUUUGUCAUUUUAUGGAGGGAUAAUUACAUGGUUGAGGGUACACAAUAGGAUAAGGUAAAAAUAUUAAAAUUAAUCUUUU
RNAcentral lists this long non-coding RNA (9364 nucleotides) under Capsicum annuum. Its description in RNAcentral is "long non-coding RNA (CANN_LNC006295)". Lineage: Eukaryota; Viridiplantae; Streptophyta; Magnoliopsida; Solanales; Solanaceae. The record is from RNAcentral.